AUUGAACGCUGGCGGCAGGCCUAACACAUGCAAGUCGAACGAGUGGCGGACGGGUGAGUAAUAUCUGGGAACCUGCCUGAUGGAGGGGGAUAACUACUGGAAACGGUAGCUAAUACCGCAUACCAUCGGAUGUGCCUAUAUGGGAUUAGCUUUUUGGUGGGGUAACGGCUCACCAAGGCGACGAUCCGUAGCUGGUCUGAGAGGAGGACCAGCCACUCUGGAACUGAGACACGGCCCAGACCCCGACGGGAGGCAGCAGUGGGGAAUUUUGGACAAUGGGCGCAAGCCGGAUGCAGCCAUGCCGCGUGUAUGAAGAAGGCCUUCGGGUUGUAAAGUACUUUCGGCAGGGAGGCGGUACCCGCAGAAUAAGCACCGGCUAACUCCGUGCCAGCAGCCGCGGUAAUAC
Molecule: ribosomal RNA, 406 nt
Filed under: uncultured bacterium
Lineage: Bacteria
Description: partial 16S ribosomal RNA
Rfam family: Bacterial small subunit ribosomal RNA
Source: RNAcentral